CGGGGAUCGCAGGCUCCCCACUUUUCCAAGACGCCGGUGCGUCCAAGCUCUGC
Molecule: non-coding RNA, 53 nt
Filed under: unclassified sequences
Description: chromate-resist RNA
Rfam family: chrB-b RNA
Source: RNAcentral